Molecule: long non-coding RNA, 292 nt
Organism: Alligator mississippiensis (American alligator)
Lineage: Eukaryota; Metazoa; Chordata; Crocodylia; Alligatoridae
Exons: 3
Source: RefSeq, a predicted model, not a curated record
ACUAUUUUUCCAAUUGGACCAGAAAUUGGAAUGAAAGUCUUGAAUUCUGUUCAUCGCUUGAUGCUUCUCUGGUCAUAAUAAAAACCAAAUCAGACCUGGAAAUCAUCAACCGUUACAAAGAACAUUUUUACUACUGGAUUGGACUGACAAAAGGAGCUGAAGGGUGGCGAUGGGUGGAUGGAUCACCUUUUACAAAUGACAUAAUCACACUUGAGAAUGAGGCACCAAACCUGAACUGUGGUUACCUGAAUACAGAGAAGAUUGUUACCAUAGCCUGCGAAUCUCUCAGGCG